AUGCACUUCACGACACAGUGGCCUCUACUAAUAUAUGCUGUCACUUGGGUUACGGCACUGACAUUGACAGUAGCGGUGGCCUCAUUUUCCUCAGAGGUAGCUUUUGUCUUUGCCAUUUCACCCUCUAACAAGUGCGAAGCACUCAUUGUAGCUUCAUCAGCUUGCGUUGUUCGAGCUGCGGGCUUCUGGGAGGAUGGAUGA
Non-coding RNA from Vicia faba (fava bean), 201 nucleotides. The record is from the annotation of a GenBank genome assembly. NCBI's taxonomy places the organism in Eukaryota, Viridiplantae, Streptophyta, Magnoliopsida, Fabales, Fabaceae.